RNAcentral lists this ribosomal RNA (253 nucleotides) under uncultured bacterium. Its description in RNAcentral is "partial 16S ribosomal RNA". It matches the Rfam family "Bacterial small subunit ribosomal RNA", at positions 524 to 776 of the family's 1533-position model. The record is from RNAcentral.
AACGUAGGAGACGAACGUUAUCCGGAGUUACUGGGCGUAAAGGGCGUGCAGGCGGUCUGAUAAGUUCGGCGUGAAAUAUUCGGGCUUAACCGGGAUAGGUCGUCGGAGACUGUCGGACUAGAGGGCGAUAGAGGCGUGUGGAAUUCCGGGUGUAGUGGUGAAAUGCGUAGAGAUCCGGAGGAACACCAGUGGCGAAGGCGACACGCUGGGUCGCACCUGACGCUAAAACGCGACAGCAUGGGGAGCGAACGGG